Molecule: ribosomal RNA, 587 nt
Filed under: uncultured bacterium
Lineage: Bacteria
Description: partial 16S ribosomal RNA
Rfam family: Bacterial small subunit ribosomal RNA
Source: RNAcentral
UGGGGAAUUUUGGACAAUGGGCGAAAGCCUGAUCCAGCAAUGCCGCGUGUGUGAAGAAGGCCUUCGGGUUGUAAAGCACUUUUGUCCGGAAAGAAAUCCUUGGCUCUAAUACAGUCGGGGGAUGACGGUACCGGAAGAAUAAGCACCGGCUAACUACGUGCCAGCAGCCGCGGUAAUACGUAGGGUGCAAGCGUUAAUCGGAAUUACUGGGCGUAAAGCGUGCGCAGGCGGUUUGCUAAGACCGAUGUGAAAUCCCCGGGCUCAACCUGGGAACUGCAUUGGUGACUGGCAGGCUAGAGUAUGGCAGAGGGGGGUAGAAUUCCACGUGUAGCAGUGAAAUGCGUAGAGAUGUGGAGGAAUACCGAUGGCGAAGGCAGCCCCCUGGGCCAAUACUGACGCUCAUGCACGAAAGCGUGGGGAGCAAACAGGAUUAGAUACCCUGGUAGUCCACGCCCUAAAACGAUGUCAACUAGUUGUUGGGGAUUCAUUUCCUUAGUAACGUAGCUAACGCGUGAAGUUGACCGCCUGGGGAGUACGGUCGCAAGAUUAAAAACUUAAAGGAAUUGACGGGGUCAUAGCUGUUUCCU